Molecule: ribosomal RNA, 300 nt
Filed under: uncultured bacterium
Lineage: Bacteria
Description: bacterial SSU rRNA
Rfam family: Bacterial small subunit ribosomal RNA
Source: RNAcentral
UAAGUCCCGUAACGAGCGCAACCCUUGUCCUUAGUUGCCAUCAUUUAGUUGGGGACUCUAAGGAGACUGCCGGUGACAAACCGGAGGAAGGCGGGGACGACGUCAAGUCAUCAUGGCCCUUACGAGUAGGGCUACACACGUGCUACAAUGGCAAGUACAGAGGGCCGCGAAGCCGCGAGGUGGAGCUAAUCUCACAAAGCUUGUCGUAGUCCGGAUUGGAGUCUGCAACUCGACUCCAUGAAGUCGGAAUCGCUAGUAAUCGCAAAUCAGAAUGUUGCGGUGAAUACGUUCCCGGGCCUU